RNAcentral lists this long non-coding RNA (1029 nucleotides) under Locusta migratoria (migratory locust). RNAcentral describes it as "partial Lnc02227". The record is from RNAcentral. Lineage: Eukaryota; Metazoa; Arthropoda; Insecta; Orthoptera; Acrididae.
CUGGGGAAACUGUGCAGGCACUGCAUUGUUAGAAGUUACAAACAUUCUAACAAAAUGUAGAAGUUUUAGUAUCCUUGCAGUAAAGUAAACCAGUGUUUAUUCUGUAGGUUAUUUAGUUUUGACGACUUGUGUUCUUUGCACAGUUACUUUAUGUUGACCAGUGUUACAUGUUUUAUGUUAUAAAUUAUGGAACACAGUAACUUUUCAGUGUACUACACAGACUUCCAAAACCCUGUAAUGCAGCAAUUGAAAUGCCUUCCAAAAGAAUUGUGAAAUUUUAUUGUACAUAGUUUUUUUUUUCUUUUUUUUGACAAAGUUUGCAUUGUAUUUGCAAAAGUAUUCUUUGUAAAAAUUAUGUUGUACUGUAAGUACUGUAGUGAAGUUGACAUGUUAAUAAACUGCAUUAAUCACAAGUGGUGAAAUAUACCAUGCAAAUCAUUGUAUGGUAUUUUUUAUUGUCUAAUUUAUCAUAUAAAUUGUACUUUUUUAAUUAGAUCUCAUUCCACUAUAUAUUAUAUUGUAUGUUUUGUAAGAUUGUACAUAUUUUAUUAUUGUGUGGUCCAUUGGUUGCUAAUGCCUUGUAAUGAUACAAAAAAUGAAGAAAACAAAGAUUCAGAUGAAGGAAGAUCAUCAACAGGUUGAGUUCUGUAUUAAUCCUUGUACUAAUUCACAAAUGUUUUGUCUUGUGCACCAGUUCACUAAUGUCUCCUCCUUAUAGCUCUGUUGUGUGUCUCCUGAGAAUGCAGCUGUCUAGCAUUUAUCAGUUCCCAUGACGAGCAAUCCUGCCAUUUGUAUAGUGGAAUAGUGUAAUUUUUCUUCAUGUUCAACUAUGUGAUAUUUAGGGGAAAAAUUUCCUCUUACUAAUUGCAUAAGUUGAAAUAUGCUUUGUACAUAUAUGUAUGCAAGGCUGAUGUGGAAACUAGACUAGCUGAAAAUAUUGAAUGAGUGACAAAAACAAUGUUCUGUAUUUUUGGAUAACAAUAUAUAUUGGGAGCUAUAGUCAAUAAAUCUCUUUGUUGAAUUACACCC